AGGGCACCACCAGGAGUGGAGCCUGCGGCUUAAUUUGACUCAACACGGGAAAACUCACCCGGCCCGGACACUGGAAGGAUUGACAGAUUGAGAGCUCUUUCUUGAUUCAGUGGGUGGUGGUGCAUGGCCGUUCUUAGUUGGUGGAGUGAUUUGUCUGGUUAAUUCCGAUAACGAACGAGACUCUAGCCUACUAAAUAGAUCGUCGGCUUACAAACGCCGGCGAGACUUCUUAGAGGGACAGGCGGUGAUUCAACCGCACGAAACAGAGCAAUAACAGGUCUGUGAUGCCCUUAGAUGUCCGGGGCCGCACGCGCGCUACACUAAAGUGAUCAGCGUGCUUUUUCAACCUACUCUGUCAAGAGUGGGGAACCCAAUGAACCUUCUUCGUGAUUGGGAUAGGGGAUUGUAAUUAUUCCCCUUGAACGAGGAAUUCCCAGUAAGCGCGAGUCAUAAGCUCGCGUUGAUUACGUCCCUGCCCUUUGUACACACCGCCCGUCGCUACUACCGAUUGAAUGUUUU
This 519-nucleotide ribosomal RNA is filed under the name uncultured eukaryote. RNAcentral describes it as "SSU rRNA". It matches the Rfam family "Eukaryotic small subunit ribosomal RNA", at positions 1161 to 1699 of the family's 1831-position model. The record is from RNAcentral.